GUGCAAGUCGAGGGGCAGCGGGGUGUAGCAAUACACUGCCGGCGACCGGCGCACGGGUGCGUAACGCGUAUGCAACCUACCCAUAACAGGGGCAUAACACUGAGAAAUUGGUACUAAUUCCCCAUAACAUUCGAAGAGGCAUCUCUUUGGGUUGAAAACUCCGGUGGUUAUGGAUGGGCAUGCGUUGUAUUAGCUAGUUGGUGAGGUAACGGCUCACCAAGGCGACGAUACAUAGGGGGACUGAGAGGUUAACCCCCCACAUUGGUACUGAGACACGGACCAAACUCCUACGGGAGGCAGCAGUGAGGAAUAUUGGUCAAUGGACGCAAGUCUGAACCAGCCAUGCCGCGUGCAGGAUGACGGCUCUAUGAGUUGUAAACUGCUUUUGUACGAGGGUAAACGCAGAUACGUGUAUCUGUCUGAAAGUAUCGUACGAAUAAGGAUCGGCUAACUCCGUGCCAGCAGCCGCGGUAAUACGGAGGAUUCAAGCGUUAUCCGGAUUUAUUGGGUUUAAAGGGUGCGUAGGCGGUUUGAUAAGUUAGAGGUGAAAUUUCGGGGCUCAACCCUGAACGUGCCUCUAAUACUGUUGAGCUAGAGAGUAGUUGCGGUAGGCGGAAUGUAUGGUGUAGCGGUGAAAUGCUUAGAGAUCAUACAGAACACCGAUUGCGAAGGCAGCUUACCAAACUAUAUCUGACGUUGAGGCACGAAAGCGUGGGGAGCAAACAGGAUUAGAUACCC
This 738-nucleotide ribosomal RNA is filed under the name uncultured bacterium. RNAcentral's name for it is "bacterial SSU rRNA". It matches the Rfam family "Bacterial small subunit ribosomal RNA", at positions 55 to 787 of the family's 1533-position model. The record is from RNAcentral.